GACAGAGGAUGCAAGCGUUAUCCGGAAUGAUUGGGCGUAAAGAGUUGCGUAGGUGGUUUGUUAAGCGAGCAGUGAAAUCUUGGGGCUCAACCUCAAGGCUAUUGCUUGAACUGGCAGACUAGAGUUUGGUAGAGGUAACUGGAAUUCCAAGUGUAGGAGUGAAAUCCGUAGAUAUUUGGAGGAACACCAAUGGCGUAGGCAGGUUACUGGCCCAACACUGACACUGAGGCACGAAAGCGUGGGUAGCAAACGGG
This 254-nucleotide ribosomal RNA is filed under the name uncultured bacterium. RNAcentral's name for it is "partial 16S ribosomal RNA". It matches the Rfam family "Bacterial small subunit ribosomal RNA", at positions 524 to 776 of the family's 1533-position model. The record is from RNAcentral.